This is a long non-coding RNA of Austrofundulus limnaeus, 408 nucleotides long. RefSeq lists it as uncharacterized. The record is from RefSeq and is a predicted model, not a curated record. The transcript is spliced from 3 exons. Lineage: Eukaryota; Metazoa; Chordata; Actinopteri; Cyprinodontiformes; Rivulidae.
UAACUAAUCAAACAAAAAGGCUGACAGCAAACUUACAGCAAAACUAGAAGUCAGGAGGAAAAACUGGAAGAAAAGUCUAAAAACACAGAACUGAUCAUGAGGGUGGAGAAGAGCUGAUGAUGAACGGGAGAUUACCUGCAGCUGAGAAUAACGAGGGGAGAACAGGUGAAGUGGGCGUGGCAAGCUGAGUGGAAAAACAGGGAAGACUGAGACGCUAACGAACAGAGGAAAAUAAACACAAACACAGAGAGGAAACUGAACUAAAGAAAUGGAAGAACUGAUCAGACGACUCGUCUUUCCAUGACUGGGUUAUGGAUGUCGUGGAAAAUAAAUCAUAAUUGCUGUAUCAUGGGAGACUGGCUCCAGGCCCAGGAUUUGACUCUACACUUCUUAUAACAAGUAUAAGGU